AGGAAGCACCGGCUAACUCCGCGCCAGCAGCCGCGGUAAUACGGGGGGUGCAAGCGUUGUUCGGAAUUAUUGGGCGUAAAGCGCGUGUAGGCGGUUUGUUUAGUCUGAUGUGAAAGCCCUGGGCUCAACCCAGGAAGUGCAUUGGAAACUGGCAGACUUGAAUACGGGAGAGGGUAGUGGAAUUCCUAGUGUAGGAGUGAAAUCCGUAGAUAUUAGGAGGAACACCGGUGGCGAAGGCGGCUGCCUGGACCGAUAUUGACGCUGAGACGCGAAAGCGUGGGUAGCAAACAGGAUUAGAUACCCUGGUAGUCCACGCCGUAAACGAUGAGUACUAGGUGUUGCGGGUAAAUCG
Molecule: ribosomal RNA, 352 nt
Filed under: uncultured Geobacter sp.
Lineage: Bacteria; Pseudomonadati; Thermodesulfobacteriota; Desulfuromonadia; Geobacterales; Geobacteraceae
Description: bacterial SSU rRNA
Rfam family: Bacterial small subunit ribosomal RNA
Source: RNAcentral